AAUCGGCUGCCAGCCGGAUUGGCCGGCGUAUCAUUCCAGAAUGUACUGUUUGUUCUGUGGGGUUUAGGAGUUCUACAGUGGUUCUGCCCCAUCUUUCUAAAAAUACAAUACAGUGUUUCACUAUGUUACCCAGGCUGGUCUUGAACUCCUGGGCUCAAGUGAUCCUCCCACUUUGGCCUCUCAAAGCACUGGGAUUACAGGGUCUUACUCUGUCGCCCAGGCUGGAGUACAGUGGUGUGAUAUCGGCUCACUGCAACCUCUACCUACCUGGUUCAAGUGAUUCUCCUGCCUCAGCCUCCCGAGUAGCUGGGACUACGGACUUGCCAAAGAAGCUGCUUAUUUCACAGAAGGAUGGUGCUGGCUGAAAGAUACUUCCUUGAAACUGAGAGAUUGCUUCCUUAGACAGGUCUCCUUGAAGAGAAUCCCACUCUGUCAGCCCGGCUG
RNAcentral lists this long non-coding RNA (444 nucleotides) under Homo sapiens (human). RNAcentral's name for it is "non-protein coding lnc-NUDCD2-2:11". The record is from RNAcentral. Lineage: Eukaryota; Metazoa; Chordata; Mammalia; Primates; Hominidae.